Episyrphus balteatus (marmalade hoverfly) is the source of this 390-nucleotide long non-coding RNA. RefSeq lists it as uncharacterized. The record is from RefSeq and is a predicted model, not a curated record. The transcript has 3 exons. Lineage: Eukaryota; Metazoa; Arthropoda; Insecta; Diptera; Syrphidae.
UGAUAAUUAAAAAAAUAAAGUAAACUUCAAAACUUGAUAAUUUGAAUACAAACAAAUACGAAAUGAACUUAAUUUAAAAUAAUAAUAUAGCUUUUGGAGGAAUUAAAGCUGGAAUUUUUUCUAACAAGAAGUUUUCAACAACGUACAGAAGUUAGAAACAAUUUUUGGAAAAAUGAAAAAAGGUUCAACUUAAAUUUGAGAAGGACUCUGAAGAUGAGGCAGCAACGAUCUUGAAAUACAUUUGUAUGCUGAUACCUUAGUUUAAUUAUGUCACAAGAAGAGUGAAUGACAAAAACACAUACAAUAAUGAGAGUGGAGAUAAAGUGUUUAACUUCUUGAGUACCCAAACUCAGAAAAAAGAACUUUCCGAAUUUUGCAUCUUCAACUCAG